UUCAAACUUGGUCUUCAAGCAGUUUCACCCGUAGGUGGCCAGAGAUUUGCAUCAAUGUCACAUGUUCAACAAUCUCUCCAGUGACUGGAAUAUUCUUAUCCACGGGCUGGAAUCAACCAAGUAUAUCCAAUGAAUAGUUCUGAAGCCAUACACUAAAAUCUAAAAUAUGAAGACAUGUUCCAGAAAACCAAUUUAGUUUGCAAGAAAAUACAUUCCUCUAACAGAGACCUGAAAAACACGAAUAUUUUCAGUUUGCAAACGCAUACCAACAAACAGAUAGAGGCCAGCAACAAACAAGAACAUAGCACACUUUGCAGAUUAACUGAGGCUUCACUACCUUAUAAACCGAAAAAGAAAAUAAAGAUAUCACAGGAGAAGUUUGGAUGUACCCAAUUCAUCACAGGUGCAUAUAACUGAAGUAGUAGGCUAACUACUGCAGUACACUUGCCACUUCGCUAGGGCCAAGUUUAGAAAUACUUGUGAAAAUUCAGACAUAUAAAAGCAUCAUUCCAGGUAUAUAACGAUUGCAACCGCUCCAUUUGGAUACGUGGUAGAUUCAGUCUUCUCAAAAUUAGUUCCUACAAAUUAACCAAUGCAUCCAAAGGAAUUUGUCUAGAUAUAAGCACAUCCAAAAUCUGAGCACAUCUAAACACCUAUUGGACCAGAGAGGAAGAAAAGGAAAAGCUCACCAACAAAUCUUGCAACCUGCCGCAACAACAGGAAACCACAGGCCGAUCGAAUCGGACACGACCGACACCAGCAACAGCAGCAACCAACCCGUAGGAGAAGAAGGGGUGUGGCAGGGGGGCACGUCGACCUGGUCCGUCUUGACCUCGUCCUCCCGCGGCUUCCUCGGGACGAGAGCUCGCGGCGCCGCCCGCCUUGUCAUCAGCGCUAUGGGGAAGAGCAGGGCCACGCCUUGCUACGAGGAAGAGGC
Molecule: long non-coding RNA, 937 nt
Filed under: Triticum aestivum (bread wheat)
Lineage: Eukaryota; Viridiplantae; Streptophyta; Magnoliopsida; Poales; Poaceae
Description: long non-coding RNA (TAES_LNC026229)
Source: RNAcentral